GCCUGGCUAACUCAGUCAGUAGAGCAUAAGACUCUUAAUUUCAGGGUCAUGGGUUCGUGUCCUAUGUUGGGUG
Molecule: transfer RNA, 73 nt
Filed under: Cricetulus griseus (Chinese hamster)
Lineage: Eukaryota; Metazoa; Chordata; Mammalia; Rodentia; Cricetidae
Rfam family: tRNA
About the family: Transfer RNA (tRNA) molecules are approximately 80 nucleotides in length. Their secondary structure includes four short double-helical elements and three loops (D, anti-codon, and T loops).
Source: Rfam by way of RNAcentral